RNAcentral lists this ribosomal RNA (1383 nucleotides) under Escherichia sp. UIWRF0155. RNAcentral describes it as "bacterial SSU rRNA". It matches the Rfam family "Bacterial small subunit ribosomal RNA", at positions 60 to 1433 of the family's 1533-position model. Lineage: Bacteria; Pseudomonadati; Pseudomonadota; Gammaproteobacteria; Enterobacterales; Enterobacteriaceae. The record is from RNAcentral.
AGUCGAACGGUACAGAAAGCAGCUUGCUGCUUUGCUGACGAGUGGCGGACGGGUGAGUAAUGUCUGGGAAACUGCCCGAUGGAGGGGGAUAACUACUGGAAACGGUAGCUAAUACCGCAUAACGUCGCAAGACCAAAGAGGGGGACCUUCGGGCCUCUUGCCAUCGGAUGUGCCCAGAUGGGAUUAGCUAGUAGGUGGGGUAAAGGCUCACCUAGGCGACGAUCCCUAGCUGGUCUGAGAGGAUGACCAGCCACACUGGAACUGAGACACGGUCCAGACUCCUACGGGAGGCAGCAGUGGGGAAUAUUGCACAAUGGGCGCAAGCCUGAUGCAGCCAUGCCGCGUGUAUGAAGAAGGCCUUCGGGUUGUAAAGUACUUUCAGCGGGGAGGAAGGGAGUAAAGUUAAUACCUUUGCUCAUUGACGUUACCCGCAGAAGAAGCACCGGCUAACUCCGUGCCAGCAGCCGCGGUAAUACGGAGGGUGCAAGCGUUAAUCGGAAUUACUGGGCGUAAAGCGCACGCAGGCGGUUUGUUAAGUCAGAUGUGAAAUCCCCGGGCUCAACCUGGGAACUGCAUCUGAUACUGGCAAGCUUGAGUCUCGUAGAGGGGGGUAGAAUUCCAGGUGUAGCGGUGAAAUGCGUAGAGAUCUGGAGGAAUACCGGUGGCGAAGGCGGCCCCCUGGACGAAGACUGACGCUCAGGUGCGAAAGCGUGGGGAGCAAACAGGAUUAGAUACCYUGGUAGUCCACGCCGUAAACGAUGUCGACUUGGAGGUUGUGCCCUUGAGGCGUGGCUUCCGGAGCUAACGCGUUAAGUCGACCGCCUGGGGAGUACGGCCGCAAGGUUAAAACUCAAAUGAAUUGACGGGGGCCCGCACAAGCGGUGGAGCAUGUGGUUUAAUUYGAUGCAACGCGAAGAACCUUACCUGGUCUUGACAUCCACGGAAGUUUUCAGAGAUGAGAAUGUGCCUUCGGGAACCGUGAGACAGGUGCUGCAUGGCUGUCGUCAGCUCGUGUUGUGAAAUGUUGGGUUAAGUCCCGCAACGAGCGCAACCCUUAUCCUUUGUUGCCAGCGGUCCGGCCGGGAACUCAAAGGAGACUGCCAGUGAUAAACUGGAGGAAGGUGGGGAUGACGUCAAGUCAUCAUGGCCCUUACGACCAGGGCUACACACGUGCUACAAUGGCGCAUACAAAGAGAAGCGACCUCGCGAGAGCAAGCGGACCUCAUAAAGUGCGUCGUAGUCCGGAUUGGAGUCUGCAACUCGACUCCAUGAAGUCGGAAUCGCUAGUAAUCGUGGAUCAGAAUGCCACGGUGAAUACGUUCCCGGGCCUUGUACACACCGCCCGUCACAUCCAUGGGAGUGGGUUGCAAAAGAAGUAGGUAG